Small nuclear RNA from Eptesicus fuscus (big brown bat), 105 nucleotides. The record is from RefSeq and is a predicted model, not a curated record. Lineage: Eukaryota; Metazoa; Chordata; Mammalia; Chiroptera; Vespertilionidae.
UCAGUAGCACAUACACUAAAAAAAAAAAACAUUGAACGAUACAGAGAAGAUUAGCAUGGCGCCUGUGCAAGGAUGACGCAAAUUCAUCAAGCAUUUCACAUUAAA